CAGAGACUGCAAGCGUUAUUCGGAUUCACUGGGCGUAAAGGGUGCGCAGGCGGCCAAGUGUGUGAGGCGUGAAAGCCCGGGGCUUAACCCCGGAAUUGCACCUCAAACUACAUGGCUAGAGCAUUGGAGGGGGUAGCAGAAUUCAUGGUGUAGCAGUGAAAUGCGUAGAUAUCAUGAGGAAUACCAGAGGCGAAGGCGGCUACCUGGACAAUUGCUGACGCUCAGGCACGAAAGCGUGGGGAGCAAAAGGGAUUAGAUACCCCUGUAGUCCACGCCCUAAACGGUGCACACUAGGUCUUGGCGGAUUCGACCCCGCCAGGGCCCAAGCUAACGCGUUAAGUGUGCCGCCUGAGGACUACGGCCGCAAGGCUA
This 372-nucleotide ribosomal RNA is filed under the name uncultured organism. RNAcentral describes it as "bacterial SSU rRNA". It matches the Rfam family "Bacterial small subunit ribosomal RNA", at positions 526 to 896 of the family's 1533-position model. The record is from RNAcentral.